This 357-nucleotide ribosomal RNA is filed under the name uncultured bacterium. RNAcentral describes it as "bacterial SSU rRNA". It matches the Rfam family "Bacterial small subunit ribosomal RNA", at positions 493 to 853 of the family's 1533-position model. The record is from RNAcentral.
CUCGCGUGUCGUGUCAGCCGCCGCGGUAAUACGUAGGGUGCAAGCGUUAAUCGGAAUUACUGGGCGUAAAGCGUGCGCAGGCGGUUUUGUAAGACUGUCGUGAAAUCCCCGGGCUCAACCUGGGAAUGGCGAUGGUGACUGCAAGGCUAGAGUUUGGCAGAGGGGGGUAGAAUUCCACGUGUAGCAGUGAAAUGCGUAGAUAUGUGGAGGAACACCGAUGGCGAAGGCAGCCCCCUGGGUCAAACUGACGCUCAUGCACGAAAGCGUGGGGAGCAAACAGGAUUAGAUACCCUGGUAGUCCACGCCCUAAACGAUGUCUACUAGUUGUCGGGUUUUAAUUAACUUGGUAACGCAGCU